GUCUGGAAAGGCGCGCGAUACAGGGUGACAGCCCCGUACACAAAAAUGCACAUACUGUGAGCUCGAUGAGUAGGGCGGGACACGUGGUAUCCUGUCUGAAUAUGGGGGGACCAUCCUCCAAGGCUAAAUACUCCUGACUGACCGAUAGUGAACCAGUACCGUGAGGGAAAGGCGAAAAGAACCCCGGCGAGGGGAGUGAAAAAGAACCUGAAACCGUGUACGUACAAGCAGUGGGAGCACAGAGCAAUCUGUGUGACUGCGUACCUUUUGUAUAAUGGGUCAGCGACUUAUAUUCUGUAGCAAGGUUAACCGAAUAGGGGAGCCGAAGGGAAACCGAGUCUUAACUGGGCGUUAAGUUGCAGGGUAUAGACCCGAAACCCGGUGAUCUAGCCAUGGGCAGGUUGAAGGUUGGGUAACACUAACUGGAGGACCGAACCGACUAAUGUUGAAAAAUUAGCGGAUGACUUGUGGCUGGGGGUGAAAGGCCAAUCAAACCGGGAGAUAGCUGGUUCUCCCCGAAAGCUAUUUAGGUAGCGCCUCGUGAAUUCAUCUCCGGGGGUAGAGCACUGUUUCGGCAAGGGGGUCAUCCCGACUUACCAACCCGAUGCAAACUGCGAAUACCGGAGAAUGUUAUCACGGGAGACACACGGCGGGUGCUAACGUCCGUCGUGAAGAGGGAAACAACCCAGACCGCCAGCUAAGGUCCCAAAGUCAUGGUUAAGUGGGAAACGAUGUGGGAAGGCCCAGACAGCCAGGAUGUUGGCUUAGAAGCAGCCAUCAUUUAAAGAAAGCGUAAUAGCUCACUGGUCGAGUCGGCCUGCGCGGAAGAUGUAACGGGGCUAAACCAUGCACCGAAGCUGCGGCAGCGACGCUUAUGCGUUGUUGGGUAGGGGAGCGUUCUGUAAGCCUGUGAAGGUGUACUGUGAGGUAUGCUGGAGGUAUCAGAAGUGCGAAUGCUGACAUAAGUAACGAUAAAGCGGGUGAAAAGCCCGCUCGCCGGAAGACCAAGGGUUCCUGUCCAACGUUAAUCGGGGCAGGGUGAGUCGACCCCUAAGGCGAGGCCGAAAGGCGUAGUCGAUGGGAAACAGGUUAAUAUUCCUGUACUUGGUGUUACUGCGAAGGGGGGACGGAGAAGGCUAUGUUGGCCGGGCGACGGUUGUCCCGGUUUAAGCGUGUAGGCUGGUUUUCCAGGCAAAUCCGGAAAAUCAAGGCUGAGGCGUGAUGACGAGGCACUACGGUGCUGAAGCAACAAAUGCCCUGCUUCCAGGAAAAGCCUCUAAGCAUCAGGUAACAUCAAAUCGUACCCCAAACCGACACAGGUGGUCAGGUAGAGAAUACCAAGGCGCUUGAGAGAACUCGGGUGAAGGAACUAGGCAAAAUGGUGCCGUAACUUCGGGAGAAGGCACGCUGAUAUGUAGGUGAAGUCCCUCGCGGAUGGAGCUGAAAUCAGUCGAAGAUACCAGCUGGCUGCAACUGUUUAUUAAAAACACAGCACUGUGCAAACACGAAAGUGGACGUAUACGGUGUGACGCCUGCCCGGUGCCGGAAGGUUAAUUGAUGGGGUUAGCGCAAGCGAAGCUCUUGAUCGAAGCCCCGGUAAACGGCGGCCGUAACUAUAACGGUCCUAAGGUAGCGAAAUUCCUUGUCGGGUAAGUUCCGACCUGCACGAAUGGCGUAAUGAUGGCCAGGCUGUCUCCACCCGAGACUCAGUGAAAUUGAACUCGCUGUGAAGAUGCAGUGUACCCGCGGCAAGACGGAAAGACCCCGUGAACCUUUACUAUAGCUUGACACUGAACAUUGAGCCUUGAUGUGUAGGAUAGGUGGGAGGCUUUGAAGUGUGGACGCCAGUCUGCAUGGAGCCGACCUUGAAAUACCACCCUUUAAUGUUUGAUGUUCUAACGUUGACCCGUAAUCCGGGUUGCGGACAGUGUCUGGUGGGUAGUUUGACUGGGGCGGUCUCCUCCUAAAGAGUAACGGAGGAGCACGAAGGUUGGCUAAUCCUGGUCGGACAUCAGGAGGUUAGUGCAAUGGCAUAAGCCAGCUUGACUGCGAGCGUGACGGCGCGAGCAGGUGCGAAAGCAGGUCAUAGUGAUCCGGUGGUUCUGAAUGGAAGGGCCAUCGCUCAACGGAUAAAAGGUACUCCGGGGAUAACAGGCUGAUACCGCCCAAGAGUUCAUAUCGACGGCGGUGUUUGGCACCUCGAUGUCGGCUCAUCACAUCCUGGGGCUGAAGUAGGUCCCAAGGGUAUGGCUGUUCGCCAUUUAAAGUGGUACGCGAGCUGGGUUUAGAACGUCGUGAGACAGUUCGGUCCCUAUCUGCCGUGGGCGCUGGAGAACUGAGGGGGGCUGCUCCUAGUACGAGAGGACCGGAGUGGACGCAUCACUGGUGUUCGGGUUGUCAUGCCAAUGGCACUGCCCGGUAGCUAAAUGCGGAAGAGAUAAGUGCUGAAAGCAUCUAAGCACGAAACUUGCCCCGAGAUGAGUUCUCCCUGACUCCUUGAGAGUCCUGAAGGAACGUUGAAGACGACGACGUUGAUAGGCCGGGUGUGUAAGCGCAGCGAUGCGUUGAGCUAACCGGUACUAAUGAACCGUGAGGCUUAACCUU
Molecule: ribosomal RNA, 2604 nt
Filed under: Escherichia coli KTE184
Lineage: Bacteria; Pseudomonadati; Pseudomonadota; Gammaproteobacteria; Enterobacterales; Enterobacteriaceae
Description: bacterial LSU rRNA
Rfam family: Bacterial large subunit ribosomal RNA
Source: RNAcentral